AUGAAAUAUCAAGAAAAUUACUUUUUUUUGUCAAGUUUCUUUAAUGUGCUGAGAAUGUUCCAAAGCCAAGCAACUAUCCUUCACCACUCCCAGAAAGUUGUGGGAAGAUUGUAUGAAAAAUAACCAUAGGAUAACCACACUCUCUACAACCUCUCAGAAAAUAUGGUUCUCCGAACAGUAUGUGCUAGCAGGGUUGUCUCUAAGUAUUCACACCCAUCCAUUGGACACCAUUACAAUAUCUGACAUUUUGUUUCACUAUGUUUAUGUGUGGUCUUCCUUAUUCUGUGGAAGCCUUGCUGUCGGGACAUGAUCGUAAACAAGGGAAGUGGAAAUGCUGUGUCAGUUAUGCUUUUUGAAAUGUAGGGGGGAACCUGCUUGAGAAAUGAAUGCGGUGUGUGAGUUUGCGUGUUUGCUCUGUCUCUGUUGACAGGAAGCAGCGUGGACAGUAACUUACGAGUGCAUUCAGAUCAUGGGAGGCAUUGGCUUCAUGAAGGUGAGAUGUCUCAGAAUGCAGUCUAUUUGUUAUUCAGUUCUGAGAACACUCAUCGUUCUUGGUGUGGUUGAGCGCUGCAUGUCACGUUACAGAACAACCACCAGGCCCCAGAGGCUGCAUUUAGACAAGCAGCCCAAUUCUGAUAUUUUUUUCACUAAUUGGUCUUUUUACCAAUCAGAUUGGCUCUAAAAAAAAAGAUUGGAUGUGAAAAGAUCGGAUGUCCUUGGCCAAUUAGUGGAAAAAAAUAUCAGAAUUCGGCUGCCUCUGUGAACGCAGCCUUUGACACACAUAGACACACACGCACAGCAACACCACACAGCUCAGAAACCUCAUUCGUGUUGAAACAGCAGGCUGUUGUAAGGGGGUGGUGGAAACAUUGUAGGGGUGUUAAGGAAAAGAUAGCUGGAGGUGAGGGUAGAAACAAGACGACUCGCUGUGCUAUAAAUACACCAGACACAAUGUAGGUCACUGUUUGUAAAGGUCCUGACUAAGAUGUUUGUGGAUCUUAACAUUGUCAACAAAGGUGGUAAUAUGGAGCAUAUUCCGUGUGCAGGUGGAAUAGCCAAUAAAAUCUAUGCACAAGACGUAACAGAUUACAAUUGUACUCACUAACCCUGGUCCAGGAGAGCCCCAGGGUGGGUUGACUUUUGUUCCAGCCCAGCACUAAUUCACACGAUUCGACCAGGCCUAAUCGAUCAUGUGUGUUAGUGCUGUGAUGGAGCAAAAGCCUGCACACCAUGUAGUUCCCCUGUACCACCGCAACUGGCAACUGCUGCAAUUCGUAAUUUAUUACUUGUUUAGUUGUACUGUUACCACUAGUCUAUGGAAUACAGCAUGUCAGGUAAGUAUUACUGGAAGAUAUCGCUACCACACCAUGGCCACUCUAACUUACAUCUGGCCAAUGUGUAUGUGAGGGCGGUGGACUCUACAGUAGCUAUUCUCAACUGGUGGGUGGUCGCGGGAAGUUUUGAAUGGGUUAGUUUGCGACUAAGACGACCUGCUUUAAUUUGGGUCACGAUUGAAACCAGUUGAGAACCACUGCUUUACAGUAUGUAUAACCCAGUCUAUUUUUAGAACAGACAUCAUAGUUCUUCCACUGUGCACACUGUCUUCUCAGAGCGAUAGUGUCACAUAACCUCCUCAAUGCAAGCUGAGGCUCUGUUGCAUCAUAUAGCUAAGACUGACUACCAAUAAUAUUCAUGCGUGAAGCAUCCAACUGGCCAAAUGGUUCACUGUUCAAUGGAUAGUUUAGAAAGUAAAAUGUCUAAAUUGUUCAAUUGAGCUUCAUGCAUGAAUAGUAUUGGUAGUCAGUCUUAGCUACAUUUUCAGAGCCAACCUCCUUAACUUGACAUUUUGACAUGUUCUGUUUGUGUGUGUGUUUGCUUGGAUACAGGAUUCCAGAGUCGAGCAAGUUCUAAUGUCUAAGAAUCUUCCGGAUCUUCGAAGGGACCAAUGUCAUAAUCUGGCUAUUCGUGGCACAACAGAGGUUCAAUGGUUAAUAUGUAGAAUACUAGGAAGCAAAGAUUUGAUAAGACAUACGAGGCUACAAUUCUCUGUUACUAAUAAUAAUUCUGUGUAAGUGCUGAUAAUUACUCAGCAGUCUUUUAUCAGAAUGUAAAGUCACUAACUGUACUGUUGUGAACAGGACGUGUUUUCCGUUUGAUAGUGAGUGCACUGUUGUAUUAACAUUUCCUCUGCUGUGUAAUAGCAUUUCCUGUGCUAUGUAAUAGCACUUCCUGUAUGGACUCUAUUAAGUACAAUAACUUCCUGUAUGGACUGUAUUAGCUGCAAUAACUAUUACAGCAUUACUCCACCAUUAUAGAAUUACACCACUAUAGCAUUAAGACGUGAAUCUAGCUAUACAAAAAAACAAAGUGUGUGUGUACAGAAUGCUGGUAACCAGCUGAGGAGCCUAUAGAUGGCUCUGAAGAAACCACUGGGCAACACUAGGGAGCUGGCUGGAGAACUCACCAAGAGCUUGGUGACGCAUUCACACUCCUUCAAAAUACGCAGUACACACACACACUUUAUGAACACAUCUCUCCUCUCUCUCUGUGUAAGAAGGCCGGUUUGGACACAGGGCUGACACUGCAUGGAACUGUUCACCCAGAACUGGCCACCAGUGGAGAACUGGUGAAUGUAAUAGAGAGAGACAUACUGAUCUGUCUGUCAGUAUGGAUGAAAUGGAUGUUUGUUUAUAUACCUGUAUACUUGGUUGGUCUUUUAUAUCUGUUAUAUAUCUUGCUCAUUCUGCCUCCUUUAUGGUUUCUCUCAGUCUGUAUUCUGUAAACAAUUCCAUCCAUUGAGCAGUUUGGAGCCCUUGUUGAAGAGCCGCUCCUCAAACACAGGAAGAGGAUCCUACUUUAGAUGAGCAGUUUGUGCUGAAGACUGUCGCUGACCUGUACGCCAUGGUGGUCUUCCUGUCUAGGGCGUUCCGCUCCCUGAGUCAGGGUCACCUGUCGGCCCAGCAUCAGAAUUGUGAGACCUGUUGUAAUGGAGGUGUGCAGGUGCAAGGUUCUGUCUGAUUAUAGAUGAAGACAAGUAUUCCAUCUGCCUUUCUCCCCAUCAUACUCAUUUAACCUUUUCUCCCCCUUCUCUUCUCCUUCCCUAUUUCUCUCCUCUCCUUCUGUCAGGCCGAUGAGAGGAUCAUGCAAGUGUCUGCGCCCCAGCAACUCCAAGCAGAUCUUCAAGAACCCGAGGGCCAUCUCUACAGCUGUGGUGGAGAACGGCGGGGUGGUCUCCCCUCCAGCUCAAUGGGCUUCUAAAUGCCCUCUCUCCUCCCUCCCUCUUCAUUUAUUUCUCUCCUCUCCUUCUAUUUUUCUCCUUCUUUCCUCUUUAUCAACUCUGCUCUUACCCGCUCUCUCAUCCUCCCCUCUUUCCCUUCCCCUACCAUUCCGAACUCUACCUCUCUGACCUACCUCUCCAUCUCUCCCACCCCUGCUCUUUGUCUUCUAAGUCAGUUAUAUUAUCCUCCAUAUAGCGCCAACUCCUGAACAUAACACCUGACUCCAUCCUGAGAAAUAUAUACUUCCAUUAUUAACUGGUCGAUGCAAAGAUGGUUAUGAAUGUGUGUCUAGAAUUGGAAAUCCAAUGCUGGAACUUGACUGCACUGAAUGGUAUGGGAUUGAGGUUGGAGUUCUCAAAUGCACUAUGAAUGUUAAAGCGCUUAUGUACAGCGGCUUCGGAAAGCAUUCAGAGCCCUUGACUUUUUCCACAUUUUGUUACGUUACAGCCUUAUUCUAAAAUGGAUUAAAUAAAACAUUUGUCAGAGCAAAAGCCAAGCCAUGCGCUCGAAGGAAUUCAAUCAAUCAAUCAAUCAAGUUUAUUUUAUAUAGCCCUUCGUACAUCAGCUAAUAUCUCGAAGUGCUGUACAGAAACCCAGCCUAAAACCCCAAACAGCAAGCAAUGCAGGUGUAGAAGCACGGUGGCUAGGAAAAACUCCCUAGAAAGGCCAAAACCUAGGAAGAAACCUAGAGAGGAACCAGGCUAUGAGGGGUGGCCAGUCCUCUUCUGGCUGUGCCGGGUGGAGAUUAUAACAGAACUAUGCCAAGAUGUUCAAAAUGUUCAUAAGUGACAAGCAUGGUCAAAUAAUAAUCAUGAAUAAUUUUCAGUUGGCUUUUCAUAGCCGGUCAUUAAGAGUUGAAAACAGCAGGUCUGGGACAGGUAGGGGUUCCAUAACCGCAGGCAGGACAGUUGAAACUGGAAUAGCAGCAAGGCCCGGUGGACUGGGGACAGCAAGGAGUCAUCAUGCCCGGUAGUCCUGACGUAUGGUCCGAGGGCUCAGGUUCUCCGAGAGAGAGAAAGAAAGAGAGAAGGAGAGAAUUAGAGAGAGCCAAGAUUUUCAAAAUGUUCAUAAAUGACAAGCAUGGUCAAAUAAUAAUCAGGAAUAAAUGUCAGUUGGCUUUUUAUAGCCGAUCAUUAAGAGUUGAAAACAGCAGGUCUGGGACAGGUAGGGGUUCCAUAACCGCAGGCAGAACAGUUGAAACUGGAACAGCAGCAAGGCCAGGCGGACUGGGGACAGCAAGGAGUCAUCAUGCCCGGUAGUCCUGACGUAUGGUCCUAGGGCUCAGGUUCUCCGAGAGAGAGAAAGAAAGAGAGAAGGAGAGAAUUAGAGAGAGCCAAGAUUUUCAAAAUGUUCAUAAAUGACAAGCAUGGUCAAAUAAUAAUCAGGAAUAAAAGUCAGUUGGCUUUUCAUAGCCGAUCAUUAAGAGUUGAAAGCAGCAGGUCUGGGACAGGUAGGGGUUCCAUAACCGCAGGCAGAGCAGUUGAAACUGGAACAGCAGCAAGGCCAGGUGGACUGGGGACAGCAAGGAGUCCUCAUGCCCGGUUUGCCGUGACGUAUGGUCCUAGGGCUCAGGUUCUCAGAGAGAGAAAGAAAGAGAGAACGAGAGAAUUAGAGAGAGCAUACUUAAAUUCACACAGGACACUGGAUAAGACAGAAGUACUCCAGGUAUAACCAACUGACCCUAGCCCCCCGACACAUAAAUUACUGCAGCAUAAAUACUGGAGGCUGAGACAGGAGGGGUCAGGAGACACUGUGGCCCCAUCCGAAGAUACCCCCGGACAGGGCCAAACAGGAAGGAUAUAACCCCACCCACUUUGCCAAAGCACAGCCCCCGCACCACUAGAGGGAUAUCUUCAACCACCAACUUACAAUCCUGAGACAAGGCCGAGUAUAGCCCACAAAGAUCUCCACCACAGCACAAACCGAGGGUUCUACGGAAUUGUCCGUAGAGCACCGAGACAGGAUUGUGUCGAGGCACAGAUCUGGGGAAGGGUACAAAAAAAAUGUAUGCAGCAUUGAAGGUCCCCAAAUACACAGUGGCCUCCAUCAUUCUUAAAUGGAUUAAGUUUGGAACCACCAAAACUCUUCCUAGAGCUGGCCGCCCGGCCAAACAGAGCAAUUGGGGGAGAAGGGUCUUGGUCACGGAGGUGAACAAGAACCCGAUGGUCACUCUGACAGAGCUCUAGAGUUCCUCUAUGGAGAUGGGAGAACCUUCCAGAAGGACAACCAUAUCUGCAGCACCCCACCAAUCAGGCCUUUAUGGUAGAGUAACCAGACGGAAGCCACUCCACAGUAAAAGACACAUGGCAGCCCGCUUGGAGUUUGCCAAAAGAGAUCUAAUGACUCUCAGACCAUGAGAAACAAGAUUCUCUGGUCUGAUAAAACCAAGAUUGAACGCUUUGGCCUGAAUGCCAAGUGUCAUGUCUGGAGGAAACCUGGCACAACCCCUAUGGUGAAGCAUGGUGGUGGCAGCAUCAUGCUGUGGGGAUGUUUUUCAGUGGCAGGGGCUGGGAGACUAGUCAGGAUCGAGGCAAAGAUGAACGGAGCAAAGUACAGAGAGAUCCUUGAUGAAAACCUGCUCCAGAGCGCUCAGGACCUCAGACUGGGGCGAAGGUUCACCUUCCAACAGGAGAAUGACCCUAAGCAAACAGCCAGGACAACGCAGGAGUGGCUUCGGGACAAGCCUCUGAAUGUCCUUGAGUGUCCCAGCCAGAGCCCCGAUUGAACAUCUAUGGAGAGACCUGAAAAUAGCUGUACAGCGACGCUCCCCAUCCAACCUGACAGAGCUUGAGAGGAUCUGCAGAGAAGAAUGUGAGAAACUUUCCAAAUACAGGUGUGCCAAGCUUGUAGCGUCAUUCACAAGGCUGUAAUCACUGCCAAAGGUGCUUCAACAAAGUACUGAGUAAAGGGUCUGAAUGCUUAUGUAAAUGUAAUUUUUUCUAUAUUUUUUAAUUAUUAUUAUCAAACAAUUCUAAACCCUGUUUUUUAUGACAAUUUUAAAAAAAAAUACUUAACAAAAUGUACAAAAAGUCAAGGGGUCUUAAUACUUUCCGAAUGCACUUUAUGUAAUGUCUUCAGGAUUGUCCUAUAGUAUAUCUGAAUGUUCAUCCUAGUAUAACACUGCAAGCUAGUAUGAUCAGUUCUCCUCUUUUAAUUUGAUUUGUACCAUGAAUGCAACAUGAAUGCAAUGUUGAUAACAUUUUGCAUUCAGUAAGCUGAAUGAGAGAAUUUAACUAACUAGGAAGUCUGAGCGUUGGGCCAGUAACCGAAAGGUUGCUGGAACGAAUCCCCGAGCUGACAAGGUAAAAAUCUGUCGUCCUGCCCCUGACCAAGGCAGAUAACUCACUGUUCCCCGGGCGCCGAAGACGUGGAUGUCGAUUAUGGCAGCCCCCCGCACCUCUCCGAUUCAGAGGGGUUGGGUUAAAUGCAGGAGACACAUUUCAGUUGAACGCAUUCAGAUGUACAACUGACUAGGUAUCACCCUUUCCCUAACCCUUCAAACAUUCAUGCCCUUCCAUGUCAAUCUGUGGAUUUUGUUUAGAAUAUAUUAAUGCAUUGCUGGGCUUCUGGAGUGCCUUAAGAAAGUGGAUGUGUUUUCCCUCACCCAUCUACACACAAUACACCAUAAUGACAAAGUGAAAACAUGUUUUAAGAUAUGUUUGCAAAUUUAUUGAAAAUUAAAUGCAAAAAUAUUGAAUUUAUGUAAGUAUUCACACCCCUGAGACAAUACAUGUUAGAAUAAUAUUUGGUAGAGAUUACAGCUGUGAGUCUUUCUGGGUAAGUCUGUAAAAGCUUUGCACACUUGGAUUGUACAAUAUUUGCACAUUAUUAAAAUUCUUAAAUCUC
Long non-coding RNA from Salvelinus fontinalis (brook trout), 7124 nucleotides. RefSeq lists it as uncharacterized. The transcript is spliced from 3 exons. The record is from RefSeq and is a predicted model, not a curated record. NCBI's taxonomy places the organism in Eukaryota, Metazoa, Chordata, Actinopteri, Salmoniformes, Salmonidae.